This 274-nucleotide ribosomal RNA is filed under the name Caldithrix sp. RNAcentral describes it as "partial 23S ribosomal RNA". It matches the Rfam family "Bacterial large subunit ribosomal RNA", at positions 2658 to 2925 of the family's 2925-position model. Lineage: Bacteria; Pseudomonadati; Calditrichota; Calditrichia; Calditrichales; Calditrichaceae. The record is from RNAcentral.
AGAUUUGAGGGGAGCUGCUUCUAGUACGAGAGGACCGAAGUGGACGAACCCCUAGUGUACCAGUUGUCUCUCCAGAGGCAUUGCUGGGUAGCUAUGUUCGGAAGGGAUAAGCGCUGAAAGCAUCUAAGUGCGAAGCCCACCUCAAGAUGAAAUCUCCCUUCCCGAUUCGUCGGGACUAAAGGCUCCUCGGAGAUGACGAGGUUGAUAGGCCAUAGGUGUAAGCACAGUAAUGUGUUCAGCCGAAUGGUACUAAUAAGCCGUGAGGCUUAACCAU